Drosophila montana is the source of this 523-nucleotide long non-coding RNA. RefSeq lists it as uncharacterized. NCBI's taxonomy places the organism in Eukaryota, Metazoa, Arthropoda, Insecta, Diptera, Drosophilidae. The transcript is spliced from 2 exons. The record is from RefSeq and is a predicted model, not a curated record.
UAAAAAGUUAACACAUACCACACCAAAAAAAAAUAAAGAAGAGAAUUAUGCAUCUCCAAAAGCAACAUAGUAUAUCCGAAAAUAUAUUAGGCGAACCAAUUACUUGUUGUACAAAUACAAUUUCAUUUACGUCCUGGCACAUCUUUACAAAUAUUUAUAAUCGCAAAAUAUCUUACGAUAUGUAAAUGCACACAAACAUGCUUUACAGUUAUACGCAAGGCAAAGUUUGGUUCGACCUAAGUAUGAAAUAAAAUGAAGCAAAACAAGGCGGUGAUUUUCAUAGCAGCACCUAACCAACAACAACCUUAAUGUUUCGUAGAUCCGUUACAUUCGGAUGCAUAAGAUGCUAGCGAAAUUAACAUUAUACCCCAUUGACAAUUGGUCACUCUGAAUUGACACACUGGAAAUUGAGCCGAAUCGUGGAAUUUAUAAGUUAAUACAUAUGUACGUAGUGUGUAAGUAUGUAAUCAGCGCUUUGAAAUGCGAACUGCUCGCCAUUUAAUGUAAAUAUAAAUUUCUGUUA